Molecule: ribosomal RNA, 497 nt
Filed under: uncultured bacterium
Lineage: Bacteria
Description: partial 16S ribosomal RNA
Rfam family: Bacterial small subunit ribosomal RNA
Source: RNAcentral
GAUGAACGCUGGCGGCGUGCCUAAUACAUGCAAGUCGAGCGAACAGAUAAGGAGCUUGCUCCUUUGACGUUAGCGGCGGACGGGUGAGUAACACGUGGGUAACCUACCUAUAAGACUGGGAUAACUUCGGGAAACCGGAGCUAAUACCGGAUAACAUUUGGAACCGCAUGGUUCUAAAGUGAAAGAUGGUUUUGCUAUCACUUAUAGUUGGACCCGCGCCGUAUUAGCUAGUUGGUAAGGUAACGGCUUACCAAGGCGACGAUACGUAGCCGACCUGAGAGGGUGAUCGGCCACACUGGAACUGAGACACGGUCCAGACUCCUACGGGAGGCAGCAGUAGGGAAUCUUCCGCAAUAGGCGAAAGCCUGACGGAGCAACGCCGCGUGAGUGAUGAAGGGUUUCGGCUCGUAAAACUCUGUUAUUAGGGAAGAACAAAUGUGUAAGUAACUGUGCACGUCUUGACGGUACCUAAUCAGAAAGCCACGGCUAACUACGUG